GAUGAACGCUGGCGGCGUGCUUAACACAUGCCAGUUGAACGAUGAAGCCCAGCUUGCUGGGUGGAUUAGUGGUGAACGGGUGAGUAACACGUGAGUAACCUGCCCUUAACUCUGGGAUAAGCCUGGGAAACUGGGUCUAAUACCGGAUAGGAGCGUCCACCGCAUGGUGGGUGUUGGAAAGAUUUAUCGGUUUUGGAUGGACUCGCGGCCUAUCAGCUUGUUGGUGAGGUAAUGGCUCACCAAGGCGACGACGGGUAGCCGGCCUGAGAGGGUGACCGGCCACACUGGGACUGAGACACGGCCCAGACUCCUACGGGAGGCAGCAGUGGGGAAUAUUGCACAAUGGGCGCAAGCCUGAUGCAGCGACGCCGCGUGAGGGAUGACGGCCUUCGGGUUGUAAACCUCUUUCAGUAGGGAAGAAGCGAAAGUGACGGUACCUGCAGAAGAAGCACCGGCUAACUACGUG
This 466-nucleotide ribosomal RNA is filed under the name uncultured bacterium. Its description in RNAcentral is "partial 16S ribosomal RNA". It matches the Rfam family "Bacterial small subunit ribosomal RNA", at positions 28 to 507 of the family's 1533-position model. The record is from RNAcentral.